UUCCAAAAUAGGCAGGUGGAGCAGUGACAGGUCGUCUUUAAAAGCAUCUAACACUGCUCAAAAAAAAACAAAAAAAAAAAACACUUCAACCACAUCAGUGUUCCACUUGCAAAUCUUUAUUACACAAUGGAAUACGUUGAGAAAACAAAAAUGAUCAAUGUAAAUAAAUAUCCCAUGAAGGUCUGGAUAUGGAAUGAUACUUAAAAUCCAAGU
Molecule: long non-coding RNA, 213 nt
Organism: Bufo bufo (common toad)
Lineage: Eukaryota; Metazoa; Chordata; Amphibia; Anura; Bufonidae
Exons: 4
Source: RefSeq, a predicted model, not a curated record